RNAcentral lists this ribosomal RNA (253 nucleotides) under uncultured bacterium. RNAcentral's name for it is "partial 16S ribosomal RNA". It matches the Rfam family "Bacterial small subunit ribosomal RNA", at positions 524 to 776 of the family's 1533-position model. The record is from RNAcentral.
UACAGAGGGUGCAAGCGUUGUUCGGAAUCAUUGGGCGUAAAGGGCGUGUAGGCGGUUUGUUAAGUCAUGUGUGAAAUCCCUCGGCUCAACCGAGGAACGUCGAUCGAUACUGCUGUUCUUGAGGAUUGCAGAGGAGACUGGAAUUCCCGGUGUAGCGGUGAAAUGUGUAGAGAUCGGGAGGAACACCGGUGGCGAAGGCGGGUCUCUGGACAGUUCCUGACGCUGAGGCGCGAAGGCCAGGGGAGCAAACGGG